AUGGCCUCCGCCGCUGCGGCGGCCCCAGUCGUGGGCCAGGUCGUGGAGCGGUUCCGCGCGCGGCUGCGGGAGGAGGCGGGAGAGGAGCCGGGGGCGGCCGCGGUGGUGGGCGUCUACAAGGAGGCCCUCGCCGAGCUCACCUUCAACUGCAAGCCCAUCAUCACCGAGCUUACCAUCAUCGCGGGCCAGCACGCCGCGCUCGCCGCCAGGGGCAUCGCCGACGUCAUCUGCGCCCGCAUCCUUGAGGUGCCAGUCGAGCAGAAAUUGCCAUCUUUGUAUCUGCUAGAUAGUAUCGUGAAGAACAUAGGACGAGAAUAUGUAGAGGACUUUGCCACUCGAUUGCAGAAGGUAUUUUGUUUUGCAUACAGGGAAGUUCAUCCCAAACAGCAUCCUGCAAUGCGACACCUCUUCCGUACCUGGUCGCAAGUGUUCCCUUCUUCUGUCCUUCAAGGGAUCGAGGAUGAGCUUCAGUUUUCUCCUUCAGAGAAUAAGCGUCCUGCCACAACGACUAUUCCGCGACAGCCAGAGUCGUUAUCUCCUAGGCCAUCUCAUGGCAUCCAUGUAAAUCCAAAGUAUCUAGAAGCGCAACACCAACUCAAGAAUGGUACCAAGGUGGAUCAGCUAGCAACUCGAGGCAGGCAAAUGCUUGACGUGGCGGAGGAUCAUAUUAAUGGGUUAACAACAAAUAGUUUGCGGGGAUUUCCUUCCACUUCUUCAAAGCUCCAGAGAUCUAUGAUACCGUAUACUGAAAAUCCUGAUCAACAAGAAACAUUUCAAUCACGUAUUGGAUUGAUAAGAAGAGAUAUGUCCAGAUCACCACCUCCUGAUGUGCUCCCUAGGAAUGCAUCCCCAAAAAGACCACUAGAGAUGCCGCAGCUGUCUCAUUCUGUAUUGGGGCAUGAUCCUAGAAGAUUGCCUGAUAGAAAUGGUUGGUUUGAAUGGCAACAUGCUUUUGAGGAUAGUGCACAACGGCCUUCGAUGAGCACGCUUGAUGAAGAAUAUAGGAAACAAAGUGCAAGAGAACUUAUUGAUGCCUACGGAAAUUCUCAAGGCAAUGAUGCUGAUGAUAGGCUUCCCAAGAUGCAACGGCUAGAAUCAAAUGGCAUGGCAAGUAGAUCCAGUGCACAAAAAUGGCUCACUUCAGAGGAAGAGGAGUAUACUUGGGAGGAUAUGCGUCCAACUUUGUCCCGAAAUAGAAACAACAUUCUGUCUUUACCUUCCUCUGAAACUUUGAGAGCUGGAUUUCCUGGGCCAAACACUGGGCAGCUGGAUUCUGAUAUUGGGAUGCGCAGCUGGCGAAGCCAGGCUCCUCGACCAGCACUAAAUCUCGAAGACAGGACUGGUCAUGUUGACAUAGCCACUAGUAGGAGAUAUCCAGGCAAUUUUGGUCUGCAAAAUGGAGCUAUUUCAGAGUACCAUAGUUCUGAGAAUACCCUUGAUCCUGGAAGAAUUCUUGCUAUGUCAGCUCCACCGUGGCAGCAGACUAAUGGCCUGCCUUUGCGAAUACAAGCACCUCAACCUUCAUCAACACUGAAUAGGUUGGCACUGCCCACUGAUGUUGAAAUGCCUGUCAAGAUGUUGGCCACUGGUGGUCCAUAUGAUGCUAUGCAUGUAGACUUACCCUUGACUAAUAGGUCCUCGCCUGCUCCUGCUCCCAUAGAAUGGCCUCUUCAUCAUCAUAGUCAACCACCACAUAAUACAAAAGAUAUUAGAGGUGCAACAGAUAGUCUUGAAGUUAGGCCAUUUAUCAGGCAUGGAGUCAAUUCAUCUGUAUUUGUUCCUCGGCAUCUAUAUGAUGCAUUGGAUCGGAAAACUGUAAGUACCGGUAACUUAGCUCAACCACCAUACCAGCACCCAGAUUUGUUGUCAUCGAGUCAACAAAAUCAAGGUACAAAUUUUGGAAAUCAAUCUCAGCCUCAUGAUGUGCCACAGUUUCAUCCUCAUUCCCAUUCCCAUCCUCCGGAGGCAUUUAGAAGCUUUGCCCCCAGCAUGCCUAUAGCUCCCCCCCAAAAUCCAUUCCAAGGACAAGGAGGUAGUGCAGCAGUACCACCAGUUACACCUCUACCAAACACCUUUUCUGUAACACCUACUGUGCAACCCUAUGGUGUGUCGUCAGUGUCUAGUUUUGCUCUGCCUCCAUUACAUCGUGGCCUACCUCCUGCUUCGUUGCAGAUGGGUCCAUCUUCAUCACAAGUUGGUGGGCCUACAACAUAUUUCUCUGGAAUUUUAAGUAACCUUAUGAAUCAUGGUGUAAUUACACUGGAGCCUUCUAGUCAACCUCAGGACUCUGUUGGAGUUGACUUCAAUGUAGACCUCAAGGUGCGGAACGAGUCUGUCAUUAAUGCUCUGUAUCAGGAUCUCCACAGGCAAUGCAAAACGUGUGGCCUUCGUUUUAAAUGCCAGGAAGAGCACCGUGCUCAUAUGGAUUGGCAUGUUACGAAAAACAGAAAUUCCAAAAAUCGCAAGCAAUCUUCACGUAAAUAUUUUGUCACCGUGGGGGAAUGGUUAAGAGCAGCAGAAACGGUAGGAAAUGAUGGUGUUCCUUCUUUCGAGCUCACGGAACCAAUCCCUGACAGAAAUGAAGAGAAAGAAAUGGCUGUUCCUGCCGAUGAAAACCAAACAACAUGUGCUUUAUGUCAAGAGCCAUUUGAGGAUUUCUACAGCGAUGAAACUGAAGAGUGGAUGUACAAAGGUGCAGUUUACAUGAAUGCACCUGAUGGUAAUAUUGUUGGUCUCCAGAGGUCGCAUUUGGGGCCUAUUGUCCAUUCCAAAUGUCGAUCUGGCCCCAGUAAUAUUUCUUAG
Molecule: ribosomal RNA, 2802 nt
Filed under: Triticum aestivum (bread wheat)
Lineage: Eukaryota; Viridiplantae; Streptophyta; Magnoliopsida; Poales; Poaceae
Description: partial small subunit ribosomal RNA
Source: RNAcentral